AACGCGAAGAACCUUACCUGGGCUCGAAAUGCUACGGACCGGCUGUGAAAGCAGCUUUUCCCGCAAGGGACCGUAGUAUAGGUGCUGCAUGGCUGUCGUCAGCUCGUGUCGUGAGAUGUUGGGUUAAGUCCCGCAACGAGCGCAACCCUUGUCCUGUGUUGCAACUGCAAAGGCACUCUCAGGAGACCGCCAGCGAUAAGUUGGAGGAAGGUGGGGAUGACGUCAAGUCAUCAUGGCCUUUAUGUCCAGGGCUACACACGUGCUACAAUGGGCGGUACAAAGCGCUGCAAACCCGCGAGGGGGAGCUAAUCGCAAAAAACCGUCCUCAGUUCGGAUUGCAGGCUGCAACUCGCCUGCAUGAAGCUGGAAUCGCUAGUAAUGGCAUAUCAGAACGAUGCCGUGAAUACGUUCCCGGGCCUUGUACACACCGGUAUCUC
This 437-nucleotide ribosomal RNA is filed under the name uncultured bacterium. RNAcentral's name for it is "bacterial SSU rRNA". It matches the Rfam family "Bacterial small subunit ribosomal RNA", at positions 958 to 1400 of the family's 1533-position model. The record is from RNAcentral.